UACGGGGUGCAGCAGGCGCGAAACCUUUACACUGCACGACAGUGCGAUAGGGGGAUCCCAAGUGCACAGGCAUAGCGCCUGUGCUUUUCGGUACCCUAAGGCGGUACCAGAAUAAGGGCUGGGCAAGACCGGUGCCAGCCGCCGCGGUAAUACCGGCAGCCCAAGUGAUGGCCGAUCUUAUUGGGCCUAAAGCGUCCGUAGCUGGCCACGCAAGUCCAUCGGGAAAUCCACCUGCCCAACAGGUGGACGCCCGGUAGAAACUGCGUGGCUUGGGACCGGAAGGCGCGACGGGUACGUCCGGGGUAGGAGUGAAAUCCCGUAAUCCUGGACGGACCGCCGAUGGCGAAAGCACGUCGCGAGAACGGAUCCGACAGUGAGGGACGAAAGCCAGGGUCUCGAACCGGAUUAGAUACCCGGGUAGUCCUGGCCGUAAACAAUGUCUGCUAGGUGUGGCUCCCACUACGAGUGGGUGCUGUGCCGCAGGGAAGCCGCUAAGCAGACCGCCUGGGAAGUAC
Molecule: ribosomal RNA, 515 nt
Filed under: Halorubrum sp. AJ118
Lineage: Archaea; Methanobacteriati; Methanobacteriota; Halobacteria; Halobacteriales; Haloferacaceae
Description: bacterial SSU rRNA
Rfam family: Archaeal small subunit ribosomal RNA
Source: RNAcentral